RNAcentral lists this ribosomal RNA (253 nucleotides) under uncultured bacterium. RNAcentral describes it as "partial 16S ribosomal RNA". It matches the Rfam family "Bacterial small subunit ribosomal RNA", at positions 524 to 776 of the family's 1533-position model. The record is from RNAcentral.
UACAGAGGGUGCGAGCGUUUAUCGGAAUUACUGGGCGUAAAGGGUGCGUAGGUGGUUCGAUAAGUCAGUUGUGAAAUCCCUGGGCUUAACCUGGGAAUUGCAUUUGAUACUGUCGAACUAGAGUGUGGUAGAGGUAAGCGGAAUUCCCGGUGUAGCGGUGAAAUGCGUAGAUAUCGGGAGGAACAUCAGUGGCGAAGGCGGCUUACUGGACCAACACUGACACUGAGGCACGAAAGCGUGGGUAGCAAACAGG